Molecule: ribosomal RNA, 253 nt
Filed under: uncultured bacterium
Lineage: Bacteria
Description: partial 16S ribosomal RNA
Rfam family: Bacterial small subunit ribosomal RNA
Source: RNAcentral
UACAGAGGGUGCGAGCGUUAAUCGGAAUUACUGGGCGUAAAGCGUGCGUAGACGGCUAUCUAAGUCGGGUGUGAAAGCCCCGGGCUCAACCUGGGAAUUGCAUUCGAGACUGAAUAGCUAGGGUACGGUAGAGGGAAGCGGAAUUUCCGGUGUAGCGGUGAAAUGCGUAGAUAUCUGGAGGAACACCGGUGGCGAAGGCGGCAUCCUGGACCGGUAUUGACGCUGAGGCGCGAAAGCCAGGGGAGCAAACGGG